This 275-nucleotide unclassified non-coding RNA is filed under the name uncultured fungus. RNAcentral describes it as "sequence contains 5.8S rRNA gene". The stretch from base 1 to 53 matches the Rfam family "5.8S ribosomal RNA", at positions 102 to 154 of the family's 154-position model. Lineage: Eukaryota; Fungi. The record is from RNAcentral.
GAACGCACCUUGCGCCUUUUGGUAUUCCGAAAGGCAUGCCUGUUUGAGUGUCAUGAAAUCUCAAUCCCCCUGGGUUUCUGAUCUGGGUUGGGACUUGGACUUGGGUGCUGCCGCUUACAUGGCUCACCUCAAAUGACUUAGUGGAUCUCUCUGCAUCCGUGACAGACGUAAUAAGUUUCGUCUUGUCCCUUGCUGUCUGAGUCUGCUCCUAACCUGCCAUUGUGCACUUUUAGACUCUGACCUCAAAUCAGGUAGGACUACCCGCUGAACUUAAG